AUUGAACGCUGGCGGCAGGCUUAACACAUGCAAGUCGAGCGGGGUGAUGGUGCUUGCACUAUCACUUAGCGGCGGACGGGUGAGUAAUGCUUAGGAAUCAGCCUAUUAGUUGGGGACAACAUCUCGAAAGGGAUGCUAAUACCUCAUACGUCCCACGGGAGAAAGCAGGGGAUCACUUGUGACCUUGCGCUAAUAGAUUAGCCGAAGUCGGAGUAGGUAGUUGGUGGGGUAAAGGCCUACCAAGGCGACGAUCUGUAGCGGGUCGUGGAGGAUGAUCCGCCACACUGGGACUGAGACACGGCCCAGACUCCUACGGGAGGCAGCAGUGGGGAAUAUUGGACAAUGGGGGGAACCCUGAUCCAGCCAUGCCGCGUGUGUGAAGAAGGCCUUAUGGUUGUUAAGCACUUUAAGCGAGGAGGAGGCUCUUUUGGUUAAUACCCAAGAUGAGUGGACGUUACUCGCAGAAUAAGCACCGGCUAACUCUGUGCCAGCCGCCGCGGUAA
RNAcentral lists this ribosomal RNA (503 nucleotides) under uncultured bacterium. Its description in RNAcentral is "partial 16S ribosomal RNA". It matches the Rfam family "Bacterial small subunit ribosomal RNA", at positions 30 to 523 of the family's 1533-position model. The record is from RNAcentral.